Long non-coding RNA from Arabidopsis lyrata subsp. lyrata, 374 nucleotides. RefSeq lists it as uncharacterized. NCBI's taxonomy places the organism in Eukaryota, Viridiplantae, Streptophyta, Magnoliopsida, Brassicales, Brassicaceae. The record is from RefSeq and is a predicted model, not a curated record. The transcript is spliced from 2 exons.
AUCAGAGUCUUCUUCGAUUGUUGUAUCAAUACUCUUGUGAGAUGUUUUUUUCUCCUUUGCCAGAGACUUUGGGAACCUCAGAGUGUUUCUUGAAUUGAUGGAGGACUCCACUUUUUCCCCUUUUUUUCUGGUGGCUUAUGUGGAUUAAGUGGAGUUUGGUGAACCUCGCUGUGAAGCUGUGAUGUAUUGAUACUGUUCUGCACAUCUUGAAAAGGUCUUCUCUGUGUCCUUGCUGUUUUUUUUGCUGAUCUUACACUCGUAUUAAAAGUAACUGUAGACUCAAAUCAUAAACCAGUAUGGUUGUAUAUUAGUUAGCAUCAUAUGUAGAUGCUAUAUUGUUGGAAUAUAAAUGUUUACAUACCUUGUGUUUCCUU